UCUCCGUAGGUGAACCUGCGGAGGGAUCAUUACUGAGUGAGGGCUCACGCCCGACCUCCAACCCUUUGUGAACACAUCUUGUUGCUUCGGGGGUGACCCUGCCGGCACUCGGUCGCCGGGCGCCCCCGAAGGUCCCCCAACACUGCAUCUUUGCGUCGGAGUUUAAAACAAAUUAAACAAAACUUUCAACAACGGAUCUCGUGGGUCUGGCAUCGAUGAAGAACGCAGC
This 229-nucleotide unclassified non-coding RNA is filed under the name uncultured fungus. Its description in RNAcentral is "sequence contains ITS1, 5.8S rRNA gene". The stretch from base 181 to 229 matches the Rfam family "5.8S ribosomal RNA", at positions 1 to 49 of the family's 154-position model. The record is from RNAcentral. Lineage: Eukaryota; Fungi.